CCUACGGGUGGCUGCAGUGGGGAAUAUUGGACAAUGGGCGCAAGCCUGAUCCAGCAAUGCCGCGUGUGUGAAGAAGGCCUUCGGGUUGUAAAGCACUUUUAUCAGGAGCGAAAUACUACCGGCUAAUACCCGGUGGGGCUGACGGUACCUGAGGAAUAAGCACCGGCUAACUUCGUGCCAGCAGCCGCGGUAAUACGAAGGGUGCAAGCGUUAAUCGGAGCGUGUGGGCGUGAAGCGUUAAUUGUGCGGUGAAAUCCCCGGGCUCAACCUGGGAAUGGCAGUGGAUACUGGCAAGCUAGAGUGUGUCAGAGGAUGGUGGAAUUCCCGGUGUAGCGGUGAAAUGCGUAGAGAUCGGGAGGAACAUCAGUGGCGAAGGCGGCCAUCUGGGACAACACUGACGCUGAGGCACGAAAGCGUGGGGAGCAAACAGGAUUAGAUACCCCAGUAGUC
This 450-nucleotide ribosomal RNA is filed under the name uncultured bacterium. Its description in RNAcentral is "partial 16S ribosomal RNA". It matches the Rfam family "Bacterial small subunit ribosomal RNA", at positions 338 to 795 of the family's 1533-position model. The record is from RNAcentral.